GUGGGGAAUUUUGGACAAUGGGCGCAAGCCUGAUCCAGCGACGCCGCGUGGAGGACGAAGGCCUUCGGGUUGUAAACUCCUUUUGGAGGGGAAGAAUAAAUUGACGGUACCCUCAGAAAAAGCCACGGCUAACUACGUGCCAGCAGCCGCGGUAAUACGAAGGUGGCGAGCGUUACUCGGCAUUACUAGGCGUAAAGCGUAUGUAGGUGGUUAGAUAAGUCUAUGGUGAAAUUGCCUGGCUUAACUGGGAAGGGACAUAGAUACUAUCUGGCUUGGGUGUGGGAGGGGGAGACGGAAUUCCUGGUGUAGCGGUGAAAUGCGUAGAUAUCAGGAGGAACACCGAUGGCGAAAGCAGUCUCCUGGCCCAAUACUGACACUGAGGUACGAAAGCUAGGGUAGCAAACAGGAUUAGAAACCCCUGUAGUCC
This 427-nucleotide ribosomal RNA is filed under the name uncultured bacterium. Its description in RNAcentral is "partial 16S ribosomal RNA". It matches the Rfam family "Bacterial small subunit ribosomal RNA", at positions 354 to 796 of the family's 1533-position model. The record is from RNAcentral.